CAUAAUAUGACUCUUUCUAUUUCAGGACCUAGGGAGCUCACUGGUGCUGUUGAUUUAAGAAGUCAGUACAAAUUGCAGCCGCACCAUGAUUUCUUUUGCAAGAGGCCUUUGCCACUUGCAAUCUCAGAUACACAUUACCUUCACAAUGUUGUGGGGGACACUGACAUUCGGAAAGGAGAAGGAAUGAAGCUAGAUCAACUCGUUCAGAAUACUUAAGGGAUAAGCCUGCUUAUAUUCAGCCCUUUGAUAUGGAAACACUGGGGCAAGCAUUUCAGCUUCGAGAAACUGCUCCAGUAGAUUUACCCUUUGCAUACCUACUAUUUCGGGCAAACCAAAAAGUGAGUCCAAGGACAAAGCCAAAAAACAUAAAAAGCACAAAGACAAAGAUAAAGACAGGGAGCAUAAGAAGCACAAACAUCGACAUAAGGAUCGGUCUAAGGACAGACAAGGACAAGGAUAAGAAAAAGGAUAAGAAGCAUCAUGAGAAGAAGAGGAAGCAUGAGGGGACAGAGGACUCGGCAGACGUGCAUAAGCACAAAAAAAGCAAGCAUAAGAGUUCCAAAAUCGAUGAGAUGGGUAAUGCACUUAGUUAGCUACAGUUUUCUUCUUACUUCUACUGUCAACCAGUGUCAUAUUCUGUUAGAAGGAGGCUCAAAAGGUUUCCGUCACCAGACCCGCUGCAGAUCAAUUGUUUUGGAUCCUACUGAAGCGCGCCAGCGUUGGCAUGAGAUUGGACAUGGGAAGCGUCUUAUUUAUUAACCACGGUCCAUUGGCUGGAGUCAAGGAAAUUCUCAAGCAUAAAACGUCAUCUUCUUACUCGGCGUGCUUUUAAAGGAGAAGUUGGUAUUGAAUUUAUGGAUCUGUAUAGCUACCUGAUCCCGGUAUAUGAAAUUGAGCCUCUUGAGAAAUUACUGAUGUGAUGCUGCAGACAAAAUUGUCCAAUACUUGCGGUGUGAAGGGUACAAACGUUACCUCUUCCCAAAUUGUAUAAGGCCUGCUGAUUCAGAACCACCUCCACAUUACUUGUUUACAAGUGGUGCCAAGGAUGAAGUCGAAGCAGCAUGGAUGGCAGCAAUCAACAAGGAAAUUAAACGUGUGUUGACAGAAGUUCUUCUGAAGGUUACGGAUGAUCUUUUUAAUGAGAUCGCAACCAAAGUUAUGAAUGAAGAUGAUUCAUCAGCUGAACCAAAUGAGACCACUGGUGUCUCUAGCUCAAAGGAGCUUGGUCUGGGAGAAUCAAAAGUGAAGACCACAGCUAAAGUUGUAGUCCUUGCUAAGCCAAACAAUGUUAGCUCUACUCGUUCUGAUGGUACUGGGCUAAGUUCUCCUAAAGGUGUUCUUCUUGGUCUUGCUAGUUAUGAUUCAGAUGACGAGGAUGAUGAGGGCGAUGG
This is a long non-coding RNA of Triticum dicoccoides, 1391 nucleotides long. RefSeq lists it as uncharacterized. The record is from RefSeq and is a predicted model, not a curated record. Lineage: Eukaryota; Viridiplantae; Streptophyta; Magnoliopsida; Poales; Poaceae. The transcript is spliced from 8 exons.